AGCUGAGAUCAAGAGUUGGAAACUUAACCGACUGAGCCACCCAGGAACGACCUGAAGAUGAGAAGAAGACAGCCAGCCCGAGAAAGGGCCAAAGAGCCUGCGAAGUAGUUUUCGAAGUAAAUGGAGAGUGCAGAGAUCUGAGGAGGCGAUCCCUUUAGUCUGCGUGGACUGAUGUGCCGAUGGAAGUACCAGAUUGCGUUUAUAAUCAGAGGAAAGCCUGCUUCUGCUUCUCCCAGCACCAUUUUGUAUUCAAGAGUGUAAUGAGUGUUCUGGAGUGAGUGCCUGGGAGCAUGGCUCUCACCAAACCUGGAGAAGAAUAUGUGAAGAGGAGAGUUCUUCUGGGGUGUUCUAUGAGAUUGUUCUUCCUAUCAGGACCAAAAUGGCUAAUGAGAAAUGUGGUUGUAAUGGCUUUUCCUGGCUUCUGACCUUCAAGACCUUCAAGAGGCCAUUCCGUGCCCUGCCUCUUGAAGAAAUUCUGGGACGAAGGAUGGUGUCUCAUCAUCCAGGCAGUGAAAAGAUCCAAGUUAGCAUACAGUGGAACAAUGAUUUCACGUGUACCCCAAUGUUUAUAGCAGCACUAUCAAUGAUAGCCAAAGUAUGGAAAG
This is a long non-coding RNA of Suricata suricatta (meerkat), 605 nucleotides long. RefSeq lists it as uncharacterized. The record is from RefSeq and is a predicted model, not a curated record. The transcript has 6 exons. Lineage: Eukaryota; Metazoa; Chordata; Mammalia; Carnivora; Herpestidae.